UAGAGUUUGAUCCUGGCUCAGGACGAACGCUGGCGGCGUGCUUAACACAUGCAAGUCGAACGAUGAAGCCGCUUCGGUGGUGGAUUAGUGGCGAACGGGUGAGUAACACGUGGGCAAUCUGCCCUGCACUCUGGGACAAGCCCUGGAAACGGGGUCUAAUACCGGAUAUGACACGGGAUCGCAUGGUCUCCGUGUGGAAAGCUCCGGCGGUGCAGGAUGAGCCCGCGGCCUAUCAGCUUGUUGGUGGGGUGAUGGCCUACCAAGGCGACGACGGGUAGCCGGCCUGAGAGGGCGACCGGCCACACUGGGACUGAGACACGGCCCAGACUCCUACGGGAGGCAGCAGUGGGGAAUAUUGCACAAUGGGCGCAAGCCUGAUGCAGCGACGCCGCGUGAGGGAUGACGGCCUUCGGGUUGUAAACCUCUUUCAGCAGGGAAGAAGCGAGAGUGACGGUACCUGCAGAAGAAGCACCGGCUAACUACGUGCCAGCAGCCGCGGUAAUACGUAGGGUGCGAGCGUUGUCCGGAAUUAUUGGGCGUAAAGAGCUCGUAGGCGGCUUGUCGCGUCGGAUGUGAAAGCCCGGGGCUUAACCCCGGGUCUGCAUUCGAUACGGGCAGGCUAGAGUUCGGCAGGGGAGAUUGGAAUUCCUGGUGUAGCGGUGAAAUGCGCAGAUAUCAGGAGGAACACCGGUGGCGAAGGCGGAUCUCUGGGCCGAUACUGACGCUGAGGAGCGAAAGCGUGGGGAGCGAACAGGAUUAGAUACCCUGGUAGUCCACGCCGUAAACGUUGGGCACUAGGUGUGGGCCGUACUCCC
This 815-nucleotide ribosomal RNA is filed under the name Streptomyces albus. RNAcentral describes it as "bacterial SSU rRNA". It matches the Rfam family "Bacterial small subunit ribosomal RNA", at positions 1 to 836 of the family's 1533-position model. The record is from RNAcentral. Lineage: Bacteria; Bacillati; Actinomycetota; Actinomycetes; Kitasatosporales; Streptomycetaceae. RNAcentral also lists the same sequence under 1 other name.